CUGGGGUGGCACCUGGCACAACAGUUGCUCCUGGAAGUUUCAGCACAGGUAAGUACACAAUUUGGCACAGAGCCAUUUCUUGGAUGCUUUCUACAAUAAUGUGUCUUUCCUUUUGCUGCCUCUGUGCAAAAGUGGACCAUUCCCUUUCUAAAUCCCAGAAUGUUUUCCAUACUUUUUUCACUCUCUCAGCAGCUACAACUUCUCCGGGAGCAAGCAGAGUGACUGGCACUGGACCCACUGCAGAGACCACAAUUUUCCUAGGAGGAAGUAGCACCACUGGAGCAGAAAUAAAAUCAGGUGAAGAUUAUGGGGGUUUCAUUAUUUACUGUUGUAUUUUGAUAAAUUUGUUAGAGGAAACAUUUUUUUCAAUGAACUUAUUUUGGAAUAAUUGUAAAUUAUAGAAGG
This 405-nucleotide long non-coding RNA is filed under the name Macaca nemestrina (pig-tailed macaque). Its description in RNAcentral is "lncRNA (ENSMNEG00000045636.1)". The record is from RNAcentral. Lineage: Eukaryota; Metazoa; Chordata; Mammalia; Primates; Cercopithecidae.